RNAcentral lists this ribosomal RNA (433 nucleotides) under uncultured bacterium. Its description in RNAcentral is "partial 16S ribosomal RNA". It matches the Rfam family "Bacterial small subunit ribosomal RNA", at positions 29 to 507 of the family's 1533-position model. The record is from RNAcentral.
AACGAACGCUGGCGGCAUGCCUUACACAUGCAAGUCGAACGAGACCUUCGGGUCUAGUGGCGCACGGGUGCGUAACGCGUGGGAACCUGCCCUUAGGUUCGGAAUAACUCCCCGAAAGGGGUGCUAAUACCGGAUAAUGUCUUCGGACCAAAGAUUUAUCGCCUUUGGAUGGGCCCGCGUUGGAUUAGCUAGUUGGUAGGGUAAAAGCCUACCAAGGCGACGAUCCAUAGCUGGUCUGAGAGGAUGAUCAGCCACACUGGGACUGAGACACGGCCCAGACUCCUACGGGAGGCAGCAGUGGGGAAUAUUGGACAAUGGGCGAAAGCCUGAUCCAGCAAUGCCGCGUGAGUGAUGAAGGCCUUAGGGUUGUAAAGCUCUUUUACCCGGGAUGAUAAUGACAGUACCGGGAGAAUAAGCGCCGGCUAACUCCGUG